RNAcentral lists this ribosomal RNA (393 nucleotides) under uncultured bacterium. RNAcentral's name for it is "bacterial SSU rRNA". It matches the Rfam family "Bacterial small subunit ribosomal RNA", at positions 30 to 424 of the family's 1533-position model. The record is from RNAcentral.
AUUGAACGCUGGCGGCAUGCCUUACACAUGCAAGUCGAACGGCAGCACGGGAGCAAUCCUGGUGGCGAGUGGCGAACGGGUGAGUAAUAUAUCGGAACGUGCCCAGUCGUGGGGGAUAACGUAGCGAAAGCUACGCUAAUACCGCAUACGAUCUAUGGAUGAAAGCGGGGGAUCGCAAGACCUCGCGCGAUUGGAGCGGCCGAUAUCAGAUUAGGUAGUUGGUGAGGUAAAGGCUCACCAAGCCGACGAUCUGUAGCUGGUCUGAGAGGACGACCAGCCACACUGGGACUGAGACACGGCCCAGACUCCUACGGGAGGCAGCAGUGGGGAAUUUUUGGACAAUGGGCGCAAGCCUGAUCCAGCAAUGCCGCGUGCAGGAUGAAGGCCUCGGUU